GGUGUAAGCUCGUUUAAGGGAUAACAUCCAGGUACUUUGGUUGCCUCGUUCAUCCUUGGGAAGGUCUGAGACAAAGGCUGUAUUAAUAACGUCCCAGCCGGACGUCCCUGUAAGAGGGGAGUGGUUCACCAGACACAACGGUUUCCUCAAGCUAACAUGUUUAAACGUCAAAUGACAACCACGUUUGUGGUUGGAUGACCUCUGUGUUGGCUUGUCGGUUGAAAGUGGUCCAUGGCCAGCGCGUAGAGCAGCUUGAUAAACGAGGUGGGUGCAGAGUUCGAUUCUUCGUUCCAGCCCCAUAACUCAAUUCAGACUAUUCUUCAUC
Non-coding RNA from Octopus bimaculoides (California two-spot octopus), 325 nucleotides. NCBI's taxonomy places the organism in Eukaryota, Metazoa, Mollusca, Cephalopoda, Octopoda, Octopodidae. The record is from Rfam.